Molecule: long non-coding RNA, 1492 nt
Filed under: Oryza sativa tropical japonica subgroup
Lineage: Eukaryota; Viridiplantae; Streptophyta; Magnoliopsida; Poales; Poaceae
Description: lncRNA OsCMeo_10g0015720
Source: RNAcentral
GGGGGAAAAUAUCAAGAAUAUCAUAUAUUUCUCCCUGAAAAAUACAAGUCCUUUAUAGAAUCUUUGAGCUGCUGAAGCAUUUUGCAGCUUUGAAAUUCUGUGUUGGAAUUCUUUUCUCCUACAGUCCGAUUAGAGGAGGGAUCUUCUCUGUAUGUGUAAAUAGCGAGGUAUGUAUGUCACCUCUCCGAAUUAUUUUGACUGUGGUUCCUGGACUGUAAACAAGCUAUUAUCUUCUGGUGUUGAUGCCAGAAAAAACACAAAAGUUUGUCGUUAUCUCUACUAACGGAUCAUAAAGGGGUUUGUAACUGGAGUUUCAAACUUAAGGUAUCUAGGCAGUAGGUAUAUAUUGAUCCUACAUCUUAUGAUCUUAAGAUGAUAUCCUUCUCAUUAUCCUCUGCUGAAACUUUAGCUUGAACCGUCAUCUACACCACAAUUUGAGCCCCUUAGCACAGAGCACAACGAGCAAUAGCUUGCCCUUACGUUCAUUAUUUAGCAUGCACUACUACUAACUACCCAAUAAUCAAUACAUCGGUUAUUAAACUGUUUGUACAGUUUAAUAAUGUCAUUUUAUCACGUUAACAUAUGUUUCAUUCAACACCACACCGGUUUUGGCACAGUUGCAAACUUGCAAUAACAUUUUUACUACUUCUCCGCCCCAUAAUAUAACAAUCUCGUUCCAUACUAUAUUGCUAUAUUACGGGACGGAUGAAGUACUUCUUUCCUUCCAAAAUAUAAGAAUCUAGUACUAGAUUAGAUAUUAUUUGGAUUCACGAAUUUGAUUAGGCUAUCUAGAUUUGUAGUCGUAUGUAAUGUCUAAUUCGGUAAUAGGUUAUUACCUCUUUGGAUGGAGGGAGUAGUUUUUAUUUCGUACUCCCUCUGUUUCAUAUUAUAAGUUGUUUUGACUUUUUUCUUAGUCAAAUUUUAUUGAGUUUGACUAAAUUUAUAGAAAAAAAAUUAGCAACAUUUAAGCACCACAUUAGUUUCAUUAAAUGUAGCAUGGAAUAUAUUUUUAUAAUAUGUUUGUUUUUUUAUUAAAAUGCUACUAUAUUUUUCUAUAAAUGUAGCCAAAUUUAAAGAAGUUUGAUUACGAAAAAAAAUCAAAAUGACAUAUAAUAUGAAACUGAGGAUGUAGCAGACUAUAGCAAAUUUAAACUAUGCUUUUAUUUUAGAGCAUCACCAAAAGAGAUAGCCUAAAUCUUAUCUUAACUAAUUAAAAUAUUCAUAAUUUUCCUUUCGUCACAUUAAAUUUUCGUCCGUAAAUCCGAUUGAAAUCCAACUAGACAAUCCAAAAAAUAGAGAAAAAGAACAGAAAAAAUAAUAAAAAGCACACAAAUCUUAUCUCAAUCCCGCGGGAAGCUGCCGAUGCCGCCGAAUCCGCUCGAGCGCCGCCGCCGCCGCUCACGGGGAACGAUGUCGCUGCUAUCGCACGUGGUAUGGGAGGGCGCCGCCGCCGCUGCUUGGGAGAUAGGAUAUGGAGAGAGAAGGAAAUGUG